RNAcentral lists this transfer RNA (73 nucleotides) under Felis catus (domestic cat). It matches the Rfam family "tRNA". Rfam says of the family: Transfer RNA (tRNA) molecules are approximately 80 nucleotides in length. Their secondary structure includes four short double-helical elements and three loops (D, anti-codon, and T loops). The record is from Rfam by way of RNAcentral. Lineage: Eukaryota; Metazoa; Chordata; Mammalia; Carnivora; Felidae.
UGCCUUUUGGCUUGGUCAGUAGAGCAGGAGACUCUCGAUCUCAGGGUUGUGAGUUCAAGCCCCACACUGGCUU